Molecule: ribosomal RNA, 692 nt
Filed under: uncultured bacterium
Lineage: Bacteria
Description: bacterial SSU rRNA
Rfam family: Bacterial small subunit ribosomal RNA
Source: RNAcentral
ACCUGGAGGUGGGGGAUAACCCUUCGAACGGAGGGCUAAUACCGCAUGACACCGCGGGGACCUCGGUCCUCGCGAUCAAAGCUGGCCUCUGUUUACAAGCUAGCGCCACCGGAUGGGCCCGCGCCCCAUUAGCUAGUUGGUGAGGUAACGGCUCACCAAGGCGACGAUGGGUAGCCGGCCUGAGAGGGCGAUCGGCCACACUGGAACUGCGACACGGUCCAGACUCCUACGGGAGGCAGCAGUGAGGAAUAUUGCGCAAUGGGCGAAAGCCUGACGCAGCGACGCCGCGUGGAGGAUGAAGGUCUUCGGAUUGUAAACUCCUGUCGAGUGGGACGAAAGCCGUGAGGGUGAACAACCCUUGCGGUUGACGGUACCGCUGGAGGAAGCCCCGGCUAACUCCGUGCCAGCAGCCGCGGUAAUACGGAGGGGGCUAGCGUUGUUCGGAAUCAUUGGGCGUAAAGGGCGCGUAGGCGGCCGAUCAAGUCGGAGGUGAAAUCCCUCGGCUCAACUGAGGAAUUGCCUUCGAUACUGUUCGGCUUGAGUCCUGGAGAGGGUAGCGGAAUUCCCGGUGUAGCGGUGAAAUGCGUAGAGACCGGGAAGAACACCAGUGGCGAAGGCGGCUACCUGGACAGGUACUGACGCUGAAGCGCGAAAGCUAGGGGAGCAAACAGGAUUAGAUACCCUGGUAGUCC